CACAAUCAGGUCCCAUUCUAUAGAUGGGGAAACUGAGGCUUGAGGUCACAUAGGCACCAGUCGAGGCCGGUAUCCCUGCACCCUCUCCCAUGUGAACAACAUGGUUCUGGGUAAUGGGGGCUGUUAUCCUGUCUCCUCCCUGCUCCUGCUGGUGCACUUCCUGCCUCUACUGGUGCACUUUCUGCCACUACUGGUAUAUUUGCUGCCUCUGCUGGGGCGCCUCCUGCCUCUGCUGGUGUAUCUCCUGCCCCUGCUGGUGCACUUUCUGCCCCCGCUGAUGCACUUCCUGCCUCUGCUGGUGCACUUCCUGGCUCUGCUGGUGCACUUCCUGCCCUUGCUGGUGUAUUUCCUGCCCCUGCUGGUGUACUUCCUUCCCCUGCUGGUGCACUUCCUGCCUCUGCUGGUGCACUUCUUGCCUCUCCAGGCCCUACCUAGCCUCUCCCUCUUAUAUAUGGAAGUCUUCCCAGCUCACUGACACUGGUAACAGGGACUCUGCUCUUGGUGUUGCUGUCUGCCCUGGGGAUGGGCAUCUGUGUCUUUCGUUACUACUGCUGGCUCAGGGCCCAGAGCUUUGAAGCAUGUCCAGAUGCAGGUCCAGGUACCGGAGUCUAAGGAGCCCCCACACCCACCAGGAUUUUCCAAUAAAGAGAUGUUCACCA
RNAcentral lists this small RNA (659 nucleotides) under Pongo abelii (Sumatran orangutan). Its description in RNAcentral is "pseudogene". The record is from RNAcentral. Lineage: Eukaryota; Metazoa; Chordata; Mammalia; Primates; Hominidae.